Molecule: RNA transcript, 2304 nt
Organism: Daphnia pulex (common water flea)
Lineage: Eukaryota; Metazoa; Arthropoda; Branchiopoda; Diplostraca; Daphniidae
Exons: 4
Source: RefSeq, a predicted model, not a curated record
GUCGAUCAAGCAGACGAAAUUCGGGUUAGUUAAAUGAGUCGAGUUGAGUGACACGAGGUUGUAAAAUAACGGCCGACCUUCGAUGUUGGUGCACCACAUUCUUGGGGCAAUAUACAUACAUACAGGAGACAAGGCGUUAAACAGGCAAAACUGUUUUUAUGUGCUGGCCAGGACGCAACGGCCCAGGGGUUCCGGCCACCCACCCACGUCAUGAAUAAUGAACUCGUCGUUUUUGGGGGAUCUUCUAGAUACAUUUGCGACUGUGCUCAGCUGCCUACUCCCCUCAUUUUAAACGGAGAAAAUGUUAAAAAAGGGCGGAAACAUCUGUGACUGUGGACGUCGGGACCGGUCGCCCCACACACACCAACCACUCAACUCGACUUUGAAAUUGAAAUUGAUUGUUUGUUCAAUUAGCUGGUCCAUUACCAGCUGUGUGAACUGUUGCCUUCCAUCACACUCCAUCGACUUACCUCGCUCGCUCGUCGUCCGACUCUGCUGGCCGUUUUCAUUUCCAGGAAAGAGAGAAACAACUUAUUAUACAACUCGGAUAUGCGUCUUUCUCUUGGGGAGAGGGAAAACGCGUUUGGUUGGAGUCGCCAGAAAUCGUCGCGUCAUAAAACCAUCAAACAAAAAAAAAAGCGCCAAGAUGACUUCAAAAAGGUGGAAAUCAUUUCUAUUUUUCUCCCAGUGUGUAUGGGGAGCACAGCCAAAACAGAAAUGUAUAUCUAUCCCUUGGAGGGUUCAAACUUUUCCUUUUGUUAUAAUAUAAUAAUAAUAAUAAAAAAAUGGUAGUCGAAGGGACAGUGUCGCCCCAUAGUCUUUUGCUGCAGGUACACACAGUCCUUCCAUCCAUGCGGCGAUCGACGGACAAGAAGAGGAAAAAUUUCCCUUUUUAUUUUUUUCUUAUCGUUUUAUAUUCCCAAUACUAAAGAGCUAGUCAGCGCUCUUGAUCAUCAUCUGAUGUGUCGUCGCCGCCUCUGCCUCUUGGCGGCGACAACAACUUAUAUCUCCCCUUCCAUUUUUACCUUUUUGGGUUGACUAUAAAAAUCUUUCUUGAUUUUUCGACUCUUUUUUUUUUUUGCGCCCAUAUAGACCCACAGUCGCUUGCUUUGACCUUUGAACUCGUUUUUAUUUUUUCCUUUUAAAUCCGUCUCGCGCCAGAAAGACUUGUAAAGCUCUCUGGUCAGUGAUACAUCACGUUGAAAUUUUUCCAAGGAAAAAUUGUUUUCUUUUAAAUAAAAUUCCACUCAACUAUAAAAAUUAGAUAUUUUUUCUUUGAGAGAGUAGUAAACUGGAGAAGGACACGCUCUUGUGUUUCUAAUGAAGAGAUGAAAACUCGGUCAUGACUCAUGACGCUUGUUGUUAAUCACGACAUCUUUUUUCUUUUCGGUCGCCGUAAUAAAAUUUAAACAAAAUAAAAAACGGUGCUCGAAAUGAUGAUAGCAACGCAACGAGAUGUUGUUAUUCGUGUGUUGUGUUCCCGGUCUCUCUCUCUCUUUAUUAUUAUAUUAAGAGCGCUCACGAAUGUGUAAUAAGUUGAAAACAAGUCCAUUUCGACGAGCUUGCGGUUCCUUGAAAAACUGGUGCCGUUUUUUACGACACGCAAUUUCAGACUUUUUCUCCUUUUUUUUCUUUUUUCUUUACGAGUCCCGAUGAUGAAAUCCAUUUGGACGGACCCGUUGAAUUCGAUCAUGUGGACCGUCAUAACUUUUUAUCCUCGGGCUGGUUUUUUUUUUCCUUAUAGAAUGGUGGACGCAAUAUCUGCGCAAUAGAUAAGAGCACGCGUGUGCAGUCUGUCGGGGCGUGGUCGGUUUUUAUUGCAUUCAAAAAAAUGAAUUCGAUAUAGUGUUUCUUUUCUCUCUCGAUUUAUGUAAUGUGAGCAGCUGUGUUUAUGAUGGGGCUUUCGCAUUCGUUUAAAAGAUGUUCUACUAAGAGAGUUUUCCCUUUUUCUCUGGGCUUUUUGGCUUGUUUUCAAAUUUGAUUUUGUGGGACGUACUUUCGGUCUGAUUUGCGCUCCUAAUUCAUUUCAUGUGGCCCUUGUUGAAGGAGCAAACGAGGCCUGAUCAAUGAAUAGCAGAGGGUUGUGGGUCAAUUUGUGCCACAUGUUUUUGGUAUGGACGACCACUUAUGGAGGGGCAGAGGGGUUAACAAGGCAAUGGUGUGUUUGUGUUGACUUUGAUAAUUAGCCGGCGAUGACACUCUUUUGCCUGGCGGUUUUGAACAUUUUGGUAUUUUUUGAAAUUCAGCUAUAUAGCGCUAUCUAGGAGCGGCUUUAGUAAACACUUGACUGUUUUUCGUCGCCAU